This 3816-nucleotide long non-coding RNA is filed under the name Mytilus galloprovincialis (Mediterranean mussel). The record is from RNAcentral. Lineage: Eukaryota; Metazoa; Mollusca; Bivalvia; Mytilida; Mytilidae.
AUUUUAAUAAAUUGGUUAAAAUAAAUACUAAAAAAAAUAUUGGUAGUCGUUUGUGUGUCCUCGUUAUACCUAUAAAACAGGUAACUUCACGGUUCAUCGGGGAAAGUGCAACAUGAUUAUCUCCCUUUGUUCCGGAAUGCUGGUGACGUCAUAUGUGUCCUCUCAUUAUGUAAACAAACAAGCAUGGCCGCGAAUAUGUGAACGACAAUACAACGAUACAACUAUGGACUAUCGAUUCACAGACGAUGAACGUGAACAGAUAUAUACAUUCCCAAGGUUAAACUAACUAUGUCAGUACAAUCAUACAUGUAAGUCAGAGCUAGAGGAUUACCGGUGCUGAAUCGGUAACUGGAUAAAGAAGCCAACAUUUUCUACAUCCGAUGGUGAAGAUGGAAACGAAAUAGAUCUUUAACAGCCUGUCGGCUUCAAACUCUCAUGGUGCGUAAAUUAGAUAGUAAAAUAAUGUAUUUCGGCAUACUUUUUGUGAGUCCGAGAUUACUCUGACAUCCAACGGCUGUUCUGUCAGACAUCGAGAGACAAGCUUGGGCCCUCGUCACGACCCCAGUUUGUCUGGCAAAACAGCCGUUGGACGUCAUAGUCAUCUCGGACAAAUUUUUGUAAUCAUAUAAUAUUGAUAUAAGUAGGUUGGUAAACACAGUUAAUGUACAUUGCGACCUUUAGCUGUUGAGGGAGGGGUUGGCAGGGAACAUGCGAAAUUGAGGGGGAGUAGGGAGAUGGAAUUGGAUGGGUUAGGGAAGAGGAAAAUUAUCAAAAGACUCCUGCUCAGCCCUCUUAAAUUAAAGUUGAGAUAAAAAGGAAAAAAGGGGGGGGGGGAGAUUUUGUUUGAGAUUGAAAAAGAAGGCCUGAAAUGGAAAUGUCUUCGAAUGAUACUAUCAAUUCUUCCCUCUCUGUAUCAUGUGUAUGAUAUACAUCAUUACAUGUACAAUGUAUUUAUUACAAUAUAGUGGGUAAUAUAAACAAAAGCAAUUGUGUGUGGUAAUUUGUACAGUGAAUCUACAUGUGUGCACUAUCUAUAAUACUAAAAUUACGAGGUCCAAUUUAUCAGCCGGCAUCAGGUAAAAACGACAUAUCAAAGAAUUCAACUUUAUAUAUAGCUAAUAUAGGACAAUUGUGUAGAUUAAAAAUUACACCACUCCAGACCCUUUUGUUUUCCACAUAAUUAAUAUUGCCAAUAAUUAACAAGUUCCGGGUCGAAUCCGGUACCGAUACCAAAAGUAUAUUCACCUGUUACCCAUUACCUUAUCUGUACGUUCCGCAUCUAACAUGAUGCACCAAAAUGGUGUAUUUGAUUUUACUAUAUACACGGGUCAUAAUCACAAAGUCGACACAACUAAAUUCAAUCAUUGUCAAAUUGUUCCCUAUCGUAGUUUUUUAAUUAGUAAAACUUUCUAAGAUAACAAUACGAAUACUAAAAAUUUGGACUAAGGCGUAUAGGUACAGUUUUCAAUUUGUUAGCGGGCAUGACGCAAAACAUCGAAUCAAAGAUUUGAACUUUAUUGGACAAUGCUGUUGAUUAAAAAAUACUCAAUUCCAGGACCUGAAUAUUACCAAAAAUUGAAAAGUUCCAGGUCGACGGGUUCAAACAGAAAGAUUUGAAAGCAGAGAAAACUUUGUAUCUUAUAAUCGGCACGACUUUAUCAGAUGACAAUACCAAUACUAAAAUAAGGCUUACGCAUAGUUAUAUACUUUAAUUCAGUCACGGACCCGCGAUAUCACGGUGUGUUCUAGUAUAUUAUAUAUAUGUAGACAAUUUUUGUCAUGAGUUAUUGAACACCUCUGAAUAAAUUAUAUUUAUAGUCACUAGUCAGUCCUAAUUUUAAACAAAUUUGCACAUUUAGAGUACUUUAAUACAUGAGUUGGUGAAAUAUCUUCAUACAUGUACAUUUGUGUAUGUCUCUGGUGUGAUGUACUUGUAUAUAUAUAUCAACACAUGGGGAGGGUGGGUGCAUGUUUGAUCAUGUUGAUUGUUUAAAUUAAUUUUAACUGUUUAAGUUGUGAAUGGAAUAAAUUAAGAAAAUAUAUUUCUCUCUUAUUUUAAAUUCAAUACAUGAUGAUUGAUCAACAUAUAUGGCAAACUUGCUACAGUAAGAGACUGUUGCAUUUUUGCUUAUUAAUUUGCUUGAACAGAGCGAUUCUCUCUAUAAACUCCAUCUCAUAAAUAUCAAAGUAUUUAGAAAACUUGUUAAGGAAAGUCAUGGCUUUGUUUGUAAUCAAUUGCACUUUGUAACAGUAUUACAUUUGUAAUACACAUGACACAUGUACAUUGUACAUGAUAAACAUGAUAAAGCCCAAGUUAAUUGGGUUAAGCUCUUGUAGAGUUGAUAUACUUAUAUCCCUUUUGAUUGAUUGAUUUUGUCCAACCCAAACAAUACCUUCUUGUGCAUGUUAUAUUAUGAAUACAUUGUACAUGGGUGAAUACCUUCAAGAACUAAUCCAUUUAAUCCAAAUCAUAUGAUUCAUGAGUAAGUAUAUUGUCACAUUGCUUAAUUAUGCCAGUAGCAAGUAACCCCUCAUUAUACACUAACUUGUACUACUUAAAUGACUAUAUUCUUUUAUUUUGCCAACACAAACCUGUCAAUUACCCUGUAUGGAAUCUAGUUUUCUGGAAAGUUCCCAUUUCUUGGUCUCCUAAUGACAAACUGUUGUAUUGUUAAUAUUUAAAGACAAGAAGUUAUAUUUCUGUGAUUAGGUUUUUAACAUACAAAUUCAAUUACAAACAAUGAAUAUCACUUGCAUUUAUUUGUGACUGGCACAGAGACUGAUGCAUACAGAGCAAUUCAUGUUCAGUUUUCAUAGAUUUUUAUACCAGCAGCUAUUUCAGAAGCACCAGUAAAUGUAAAUUUUGUAUAUAAUUUCUGUGCCAUUUGGCCUCUUGUGUAUUGUUGUCUCAUUGACACCCAUUCCACUACUUCCCUACUCGAGCUAUAAUAAGAUUACAGUUGAUAAUUAAAGUAAGAUUUUGUACUUGAUUUUUAAAUCCUUAUCAAGUUUCAAAAGAGUAAAUAAACAGCCAUAUGAUUUUUACUACUAAAUAUGUAUGAAUAUACAACCAAACAAAAAUAACUAAGACACUUUGUAUAAUUUCAUUUUUAAAAUAAGUUUUCACAUGUCUCACUGAAUAGUUUUUUUGUUUUCAGAAAUAACAGAUAUUUGUCACAAAGAAGAUUUACCAUGUACUAGGAGAAAUAUAUGAGUUGUGUUGCCAUCAGGUGUUGUUUGCAAAAUAAGGGAACAGUUCCAAGUUGAACAAUUAACAAACUUUAAAUAGCCCUAAUGACCACACAAAGAGUCAAAUUAUAUUAACUAUAUUGAUAAUAAAAUUUUAUCACAUUUAUUCAUUGUUUAAUUUAUUUAUAAGUGGUCUCCUUUUCUUGUCUGUUUGCCUGAUUUGCUAGUAGAGGUGGCUCAGCCAGUCUUUUAUCAACUGCUGCUACAAAUGUAUAUCUAAGCCACUUUUGUAUGAAGGAUACUUCCAUAAGUUCAUGCACAUUACCUUUAAAAAUAAAUUGAAAAAACAAUUUGAUUUGCAUAGGAACAACAUAGCUUGAAUCUUUCAGCAUGGUUAAUAAUUAUGGACAACUUUCAUUGGAUGCCAGACUCCUAAUGGAUUUGUUUAAAUGAUAACACCAUAAUAUGUACUUUCUGCAUCAUUUAGUCUCUGGUGGAGAGAUGUCUCAUUGGAAAUCAUAUCUCAUCUUCUUAUUUCUAUAUGUGUUAAUUAAUCAGUUUCAAAUUAAUGUGACUGACUAGAAAACAUAAUGCCCAUCUACUACUGUCAUAGACAUGUGAACAAAA